AUUGAACGCUGGCGGAAUGCUUUACACAUGCAAGUCGAACGGUAGAGGGGGCAACCCCUCGAGAGUGGCGAACGGGUGAGUAAUAUAUCGGAACGUGCCCAGUCGUGGGGGAUAACGUAGCGAAAGUUACGCUAAUACCGCAUACGAUCUACGGAUGAAAGCGGGGGAUCGCAAGACCUCGCGCGAUUGGAGCGGCCGAUAUCAGAUUAGGUAGUUGGUGGGGUAAAGGCUCACCAAGCCAACGAUCUGUAGCUGGUCUGAGAGGACGACCAGCCACACUGGAACUGAGACACGGUCCAGACUCCUACGGGAGGCAGCAGUGGGGAAUUUUGGGACAAUGGACGCAAGUCUGAUCCAGCCAUUCCGCGUGCAGGAUGAAGGCCCUCGGGUUGUAAACUGCUUUUGUACGGAACGAAAAGGUUUCUAUUAAUACUAGGAGCUCAUGACGGUACCGUAAG
RNAcentral lists this ribosomal RNA (458 nucleotides) under uncultured bacterium. RNAcentral's name for it is "bacterial SSU rRNA". It matches the Rfam family "Bacterial small subunit ribosomal RNA", at positions 30 to 484 of the family's 1533-position model. The record is from RNAcentral.